Long non-coding RNA from Grammomys surdaster, 2895 nucleotides. RefSeq lists it as uncharacterized. The transcript has 2 exons. The record is from RefSeq and is a predicted model, not a curated record. Lineage: Eukaryota; Metazoa; Chordata; Mammalia; Rodentia; Muridae.
UAGUUGGUGUUGAGGACAUAGGCUGUUCCCAGAGUUAUUCCAGUAUAAACGUCUCUCUUGUGUCCGGCUCUUUCUAAGGCGCCAGGCCUCGCAAACCCUGUCGCUCUUCUCCUGAGAACACCGAGAGAGCGCCCCAAGGAGAGACUAGAGACUUGUCCUCAGUCCCGUGCUGUCUUCUGAAGUGCGGGAAGCCGCGGCUUCACACUCUGCUAUGGCUUCAGGUGUCGGUUUCCCCAAAUUGAUGGUAUUCCCAUGAAAUAAAGAGGAACUGCCAACAUUAGGCGCGUGAUGCUGCGCGAGAAACGAAAAAAUGAGUCGGUCUCAGGAGCUUCGUCCCAGUCCUUACAGGCACUGCAGCAGACAACUAGAGAAUCCAGAGUCGUCUGUUAUGCCCACCACUUGUGCUACCCUUGACUGAACAGCACACAGGUUUCAACUUGGAGACUUGCCACUUACCUAGCAAGACUCUGGAACCUUCCUUUGAGGGACCAUAUCCUGUGAUCCCAACAACGCCAAGAGCCAUCAAGGUAGCAGGGACUGCAGCUUGGAUCUACCACUUCCAUCUGAAGGCAUAUACAACCAGCCAGGAGAAAGGUGACAGCUGGAGGGUAAUGCAAUGUUCCCAAUGCCCUCUAAAGGUGUGGCUCAUGUAUACCUUGAACUCAGACUGGCACUGAUUUGGGGAAUCUUGAUAGGUUACUCCCAGCCAGCUAACAAUGUGGAAGCCUGGGAUUGGGAGCUGUCUCGAACCUCAGAUAGGAAAAUAAUAGGUCUUUUCCAGAAUGUCAACUCCCAACCUGUGUUUAAAUUCGACCUGUGUGAUUUCUUUGAUAACAAUGAACUUAUGGCUGAAUGGGGAAUUUAUAGUCCAGUUCACCCAGGGUGUGGGACCAAAAUGCAGGAAAUAUCCUUUUGGUCUUCACCAUUUUACGCAUGCCCGGCUGACGGGCCUACACACUGUCACAGAUGGGAAAAGGAUUAUCACUGCUCCAGCCCAGGUUGCGAGACUGAGUCUGACCAGGGUGGACAUAAAGACCCAUACAUCUCCAUUCAACGGAUAUAUCCUUCCCGGGAUUGCAGACCUGGGACCUGUAAUCCCUUUACUUUAAAGAUUGUGACUUGGAAUGAAUUGAGUGCCAAAUACUGGCUUACUGGCCGGACCUGGGGAUUUGUACUUAAAUUUAAGAAUUAUGGAAACAGUCCUGGUGUAGAAUUCACUAUACAGAAAAAGGUUCCACACUACAGAGCCAAUCCCAUAGGUCCUGAAAGGAGCUGGUUGCCUCAACCAGGGAUUGGGGUGUAUCCUUUCUCUAUCCUAACUCCUCAGGCCAUUUCACCCAUGGUGGUGAAUCUAUCCACAGUCAUGGUCAAGGGGCUGCAGUAAUAGAUAGCUUCAGUCCUACUCCAGAACACACCUACAAGUUUUAUCCCCUAGUGAUUCCCUUGAGCUCAAGACUUGAAGUUAUUGCAUAAUUGGAUAAAUCAUACACACCCCAGCCUUGGAAGAGAUUAUUGGUUUUAUCAAGGUCCAGACCUCUCUUUUAUGUAGAGAUAGGGAUCAAUCUCUCUAUUAUCCCAACUGGAAAAUUUAAAUAGUAAAAUGAAGAAACUAGACUCACCCUGGGAGAUUUCCAAAAGGUUAAUCUCUUCAAUUUGUAAUUAGCCAGCUUCACAUUAUAGCAAAACCUGAGUAUUCAUUUAUACAUCAACUGCUCUGAGCAUAUUAGAAUGUACCUCUAAUGCCUAUUAAGGACAUGCUGGGCCUGUAUAUUUGAGCUUGCUAGAUAUGUAACAGCUGAACACCUUCAAUUUUGGCCCCAGGAAGGAAAUCUCUGUAUUCAAGCCUAUAUCCUCUCCCAAGUAGACAUGUAUACUGGAGAGAAGGGUAGAAAACUUGCCUACAUAUAAAGGAUAUUCCCACUGUGAGGUCCAGCAGGGUCUGUUAGAAUAAAGAGAAUAGCAGUCUCAGCUAUAUAGUUAAACUUCUCCUCCUGAGAGCAAGAAUCGCCUUGGGAGUGUCAGCCCUAGUUAUUUAAGACCAGAAUUUUAAAAUACUCAGUAAUUAAGUAGACCAAGACUCAGCACCUAAAGAGCUCCAUCAGGCAACUUGAACAAGUGGUUUCCUUAGCAGAGAUGGUUUCACAGAACCAUGGAGGACUAGAUUUUAAUUGUGAAGGAAGUACAUUUGUUGUGCUGCCUUAGGUGAAAAACGUUUCUAUGCCAAGAACUCAUGAGUUUAUGGGAAAUAUAGAUAUGGCUCAGAAAAACUUCAGCUGUAAGGGCAAAGGAAUGAGCGGAGGCUUCUGCUUGGUACCAGUCUCCUUUUUUCUUGGUCCCCAUGGCUUACCUCUCUUUUUCCAGCCACAGCCGGGCCCAGUCUUUUACUAUUCAUUGGCAUCCCAAUCAACCCCACAUUUUACAUUGUUGACUGAUGUACAUUAAAGUAGAACCACCUCUGCUAAAAUGAGAGCCCUGCAGGCUUGGUAACAGCCUGUGCUCAGCACAACUCAGGGACUGGAGUCAGAAGAUGGAGAGCCAGUGGGGUUGCAGUGGCUAAGGACGCUCCAUCCUGAACCCAUUUCUGAUUUUAGUAGGCUUUGUCCCCUGACUUAAAUUCUUGAAAGAUAAGCUCCAGACAACCUGUUUCCUUCCCCCAAAAUGGCGUAACUUGUGAAAUGAUUAGCUGCUGGCUCAGGCUUUUGUAACUUGUAACUUGUUGUAUGCAGGGGGAGUUUCUCAUAUAGCUGCAAAUUCCACCGAAAAAUUAAGUAAUUGUGGUUUUUGCCUAUAAAAAUCCUUCCCUCAACCUCUCCUUUCAGUGGUAUGCCUUUGAUUUGACUUUAAGACUGCCACCCAGCUAGCAGUUUUAAUAAAUGUAUCUAAUUAUAAUCUGGA